UUCUAAAGAUAAUAUCUUCCCUCUGCAUUAGACUUUCUGUAGGGGAAUGUUUGGAGGGUAAUAUGACCAGAAUGCAGUUGGGGAUCAUGGGGAUCCGAAUUUUAUGUGCCUUCUGUAAUUUCUCUUCUACCAGAGCCAAUUCUUUUUCAACUUCAGCUGAUCAUUGGCUAUUUAAGUCCUUGUCACCAUCUAAGAGUUUGUGUAAAUUAAUAAGUUGGUCAGGUUUUAUCCUGACUGUAGCUGGGAAAUGUCUCCCAGCGAGCUCUGAAGUCAUCAAGAAUCUGCAGUCCAUCUCUUUUACUUUGCUCCUUUUGGGGUCUAAUUUUUUGUAAACCUAUUUUAUAGCCUAAAUCAUUAAUUGACUCUCCUUGUAUUUUCCAGGAGCAAUUUGUAAUCUGCAACAAGGCAAAACUUUCUUCAAAGUCUUUCUAAAGUAUCUACAUUUGAAUCCGAUAGUAAAGUGUCAUCCAUGUAAUGGCAAACUAUAGAUUGAGGAAAUUGCUUGCUUAUCAGUUCCAACAGCUGCUAUACAGCCAUACAGGACCUGUUUUCCCAGUACUGUCACUUACAGUAACCCAGCUGAGAAGUAAGGAGGAAAGAAUCGGGCAUCUGCCAAAACAGUUGUCUAGUCCAGCUUCUACAGCUCACUUCCUCCUGUUUCAGAAACCUGAAGAUGACUUUCCAACUUCCGUCAUUAGCAAGGAUGCAACAGCAGGCAGCCAGAGAGCAGAAGUGAUAGUCUGGACUGGGCUCAGAAGUGCCUAGGAGCCUGGCACGGAGAACUCUGGAAGCCUGAUGUUCGUUGUGAAUCACUGUUCAUUACAGUGACGCUGCUGCCUCACUUUGACCUUGUAAAGAUCCCUGAUUACAGUAGACACCAUCCAAAAGUAUUCCCCACCA
This is a non-coding RNA of Myodes glareolus (Bank vole), 900 nucleotides long. The record is from RefSeq and is a predicted model, not a curated record. NCBI's taxonomy places the organism in Eukaryota, Metazoa, Chordata, Mammalia, Rodentia, Cricetidae.